This 84-nucleotide transfer RNA is filed under the name FCB group bacterium. RNAcentral's name for it is "tRNA-Leu". It matches the Rfam family "tRNA". From Rfam's summary of the family: Transfer RNA (tRNA) molecules are approximately 80 nucleotides in length. The record is from RNAcentral. Lineage: Bacteria; Pseudomonadati.
GCCGAAGUGGUGGAAUUGGUAGACACGCGGUGUUCAGGGCGCCGUGUCUUCACGGGCGUGUGGGUUCGAGUCCCACCUUCGGCA